This 462-nucleotide ribosomal RNA is filed under the name uncultured bacterium. RNAcentral describes it as "bacterial SSU rRNA". It matches the Rfam family "Bacterial small subunit ribosomal RNA", at positions 917 to 1382 of the family's 1533-position model. The record is from RNAcentral.
GGACCCGCACAAGCAGCGGAGCAUGUGGUUUAAUUCGACGCAACGCGAAAAACCUUACCAGGGUUUGACAUCCUCUGACAUCCUAAGAGAUUAGGCUUCCCUUCGGGGCAGAGAGACAGGUGGUGCAUGGUUGUCGUCAGCUCGUGUCGUGAGAUGUUAGGUUAAGUCCUGCAACGAGCGCAACCCCUAUAUACAGUUGCCAAUAUUCAGUUAGGAACUCUGUAUAGACUGCCGUGGACAACACGGAGGAAGGUGGGGAUGACGUCAAAUCAUCACGCCCCUUACAUCCUGGGCUACACACGUGCUACAAUGGCUAUUACAAAGAGCUGCAAAACUGCAAAGUCUAGCGAAUCUCAAAAAAAUAGUCUCAGUUCAGAUUGUGGGCUGCAACCCGCCCACAUGAAGUCGGAGUUGCUAGUAAUCCCGAAUCAGCAUGUCGGGGUGAAUGCGUUCCCGGGUCUU